ACAACUGUGUUUAAGACAAGCAAGAUGAAGACUGGUUUUCAUUAGAAUAGCAAGGUUACUCUGGCAUCUCUUGGCCCUGGAAUUGUGGGCAGGAAAUAAUCUCCACAGGCCAGGAUCAGGUUACAAAACGAUUCUUUUACCAGGCAGUGAAUGUCUCAGGCUGUGACCAAAGAUUUUUUCCUCAGUUUUACGAAGCAAUGUGUUCAUCAACAGAAGAUACUGUGUUCACGAUUUCUGAAGGGAAAUCACUGACUGUUUCACCUCAGAACAAAUAUGUGAAGUUCCUGUAAAAGUUGCUGCUUUUGGACAUUUUUUCUUCUCCUUACAACACAGCUUUCUCAGAAGUUCUCUUUGGAUGCCAUGUUUUGUGGCUUGCAUCAAAAGAGGAGUUUGUCUUCAUGAAGAUUCCUAACAUUGGUAAUGUGAUGAAUAAAUUUGAGAUCCUUGGGGUUGUAGGUGAAGGAGCCUAUGGAGUUGUACUUAAAUGCAGACACAAAGAAACGCAUGAAAUUGUGGCGAUCAAGAAAUUCAAGGACAGCGAAGAAAAUGAAGAAGUCAAGGAAACGACUUUACGAGAGCUUAAGAUGCUCCGCACCCUCAAGCAAGAAAACAUUGUGGAACUGAAAGAAGCCUUUCGUCGCAGGGGGAAACUGUACUUGGUGUUCGAAUAUGUUGAAAAGAAUAUGCUUGAAUUAUUGGAAGAAAUGCCAAAUGGAGUUCCACCUGAUAAAGUGAAAAGUUAUAUCUACCAAUUAAUCAAAGCUAUUCACUGGUGCCAUAAGAACGAUAUCGUACACCGGGAUAUAAAACCAGAAAAUCUCUUAAUCAGCCACAAUGAUGUUUUGAAACUGUGUGACUUUGGUUUUGCUCGGAAUCUAUCAGAAGGCAAUAAUGCUAAUUAUACAGAGUAUGUGGCCACGAGGUGGUAUCGUUCCCCAGAACUCUUACUUGGCGCUCCCUAUGGCAAGUCUGUAGAUAUGUGGUCCGUGGGCUGUAUUCUUGGGGAGCUAAGCGAUGGGCAGCCUUUGUUUCCUGGAGAAAGUGAAAUUGAUCAACUUUUUACCAUUCAGAAGGUGCUAGGACCUCUCCCGUCUGAGCAGAUGAAGCUCUUCUACAGUAAUCCUCGAUUCCAUGGGCUCCGGUUUCCAGCCGUGAACCAUCCUCAAUCACUGGAGAGACGAUACCUUGGAAUUUUAAAUAGUGUAUUACUUGAUCUAAUGAAGAAUUUACUGAAGUUGGACCCAGCUGACAGAUACUUGACAGAGCAAUGUUUGAAUCACCCUUCAUUCCAGUCUCAGAGGCUCUUGGAUCGCUCACCUUCAAGGUCAACGAAAAGAAAACCUUACCACGUGGAAAGCAGCACAUUGUCUAAUAGAAGCCAGGCCAGCAAAAGCACUGCUCUGCAGUCUCACCAUAGAUCCAACAGCAAGGACAUCCAGAACAUGAGUGUGGGCCUACCUCGCACUGACGAAGGGCUGCCUGCCAACGAAAGCUUCCUCAAUGGCAACCUGGCUGGGGCCACUCUGAGCCCUAUGCACACCAAGACCUACCAAGCCAGCAGCCAGCCCGGGGCCGGCAGCAAGGACCUCACCAACAACAACAUACCGCACCUUCUCAGCCCCAAAGAAGCCAAGUCUAAGACAGAGUUCGACUUCAAUAUCGACCCCAAGCCGGCAGAGGGCCCGGGCACGAAGUACCUCAAGUCUAGCAGCAGGUCACAGCAGAACCGGCACUCAUUCAUGGAAAGCUCGCAGAGCAAGGCCGGCACGCUGCAGCCCAGCGAGAAGCAGAGCCGCCAUAGCUACAUCGACACCAUCCCCCAGUCCUCCCGGAGCCCCUCCUACAGGACCAAGGCCAAGAGCCACGGUGCGCUGAGUGACUCCAAGUCUGUGAGCAACCUCUCUGAAGCCCGGGCCCAGAUCACUGACACCAGCACGAGCCGCUACUUCCCAUCCAGCUGCCUGGACUUGAACUCACCCACCAGUCCUACCCCAGCCCGACACGGUGACACACGAACUCUGCUCAGCCCUUCGGGCAGAACCAACCGCAGCGAGGGCACGCUGGACUCCCGCCGCACAGCCACCAGGCACUCCAAGACCAUGGAGGAGCUGAAGCUGCCCGAGCACAUAGAAGGCAGCCAUUCCCACUCGCUGUCUGCACCCCACGAGUCCUUCUCGUAUGGGCUGGGCUACACGAGCCCCUUCUCUUCCCAGCAGCGUCCGCAUAGGCAUUCCAUGUACGUGACCCGGGACAAAGUGAGAGCCAAAGGCCUGGAUGGAAGCCUGAGCGUAGGGCAGGGGAUGGCAGCCAGAGCCAACAGCCUGCAGCUCCUGUCACCUCAGCCUGGAGAGCAGCUGCCUCCAGAGAUGACUGUGGCCCGAUCUUCUGUGAAGGAGCCUUCCAGAGAAGGCACCUCAUCAUUCCACGCCCGGCAGAAGUCUGAGGGUGGAGCGUAUCAUGACCCCCACUCUGAUGAUGGCACUGCCCCCAAAGAAAACAGACAUCUGUACAACGACCCUGUUCCCAGAAGAGUUGGCAGCUUCUACCGAGUGCCAUCUCCACGUCCUGACAAUUCUUUCCAUGAAAAUAAUGUGUCAACCCGAGUUUCUUCCUUACCAUCUGAAAACAGUUCUGGAAGUAACCAUUCAAAAAGACAGUCAGCAUUUGAUCCAUGGAAAAGUCCUGAAAACAUUAGUCAUUCCGAACAACUCAAGGAAAAGGAAAAACAAGGUUUUUUCAGGUCAAUGAAAAAGAAGAAGAAGAAAUCUCAAACAGUGCCCAAUUCUGAUGGCCCUGACCUCCUGACAUUACAGAAAGCCAUUCACACAGCGAGCACCCCCAGCAGCCGACCCAAGGAGUGGCGUCCUGAGAAGAUCCCUGAUCUGCAAACCCAGAGCCAGCCGUUAAAAUCCCUGCGCAAGCUGUUACAUCUCUCAUCAACCUCCAGUCACCCAGCCGGGGCCGCAGACCCCCGCUUCCAGCCCUUACCAACUCAGCAAGCCAAAAACUCCUUCUCGGAAAUUCGGAUCCACCCCCUGAGCCAGGCGGCGGGUGGUGGCAGCAACAUCCGACAGGAUCCUCCGCCCAAGAACAGGCCAGCCCUCCAGCUGCCAGGUCAGAUAGAGCCUGGCUGGCAUGUGUCCUCCGUGACCCGCGGUGCCACUGAGGGCCCUUCCUACUCUGAACAGCUGGGCGCCAAGAGCGGGCCAAACGGGCACCCUUAUAACAGAACAAAUCGGUCCCGAAUGCCAAAUCUGAAUGAUUUGAAAGAGACAGCCUUGUAAUGUGUGCUGGGGGUGGGGGUGGGUGGGUGGAGGGACUCAAGGGGGAGGGGGAGGGGCUGCUGGGGGCAGGGCCAGGGAGGGGAAGGGGAGCCAGUCUUUUCAGCUUUAUGAAGGUGUGUGCAAUAUUGUAUGUGGGGAGGGGGGGCCUUGGGCCUCCUCACAGCCGCAAAUGCCAGUCAGGGAUCUUAGAGCCACAGGAGUUCUUUAGGGGCACUGUCCCCACAGGUCUUGCAUGACAAUGGCUAGAGUGCCCUUGAGGAAGAUGAAGUUCUUGCCAGUUUCUCCACCCCACAACCCCCCAUUCCAGCUUUAGUGCAGUCCCGCGGAAGUCAGGAACACUGGCACUUACAAGGGAUAGAGAAAAAAAAAAUAUAUAUAUAUAUAUAUAUAUCCGUGUUGACCGAUGCCCUUACUCCAGCUUUUUGUCUGCCUAGACUAAAACGUGGGGUGGACUGUAAUCCAAGAGUAUCCCUCUGAAGGGUUAGCAGAUGAACUAACUGUAUGUCUUAAAUUGUUUUCUAAACUUCCAUAUUUGAUAGGAUUUGUAACAUUUAUUUAUAAUUAAUUAAUAUUGUACUGUUCGGAUCAUACCUUUCUGUUCAAUGUAAAAUUAUUUUGAGCUGUUUGGAACAUUGUGAAGCAGUGGGACAGCUACAGUAGUUUCUAUAAAAACUAAACAGUAACAUUUAUAUAUUGCAUCAGGAGUAUUUUAUUCUAUAUACAAAUAUAUAUAUAUAUAUAUGGUAAAUAUCUGUCUGUUUUAUAAAUAUAAUCAUUUAAAGAAAGUAUUGUUCUGACACUAUCUGCCAUAUUUUUAUACAUUUGUGAUAUGAAGUGAGUAUUAUACUUCGAGUCAAGGGAGAGUCAUGGCUAAAUGUGACUGGAAUGAUAGGAACCUUGCUCAACCAGUAGGCCCCGGCAGUAGCCUCAAGGCAUGAUCCUUGGUAGUGAGAAGCAGCAGCGCCUCCCAGACCCCCGGGGGAAGCAAGUGGGCUGGGCCAAUGACCGCCCCAAUGGCCUUGACCCUGCCCCACAUGGCCGGCUGCCAUUCACAGCCAGGGCCAUUCCUGGUACCUGGUACCCGAGGGGAGAACAGACCCAGAAUGGCCCGUGGGUCUUCAGGGAGAGGGAGCAUGUGCUCUUCACCUCUGUGUGAAUGAAGAGUGUAGACCAAAGAUUUGCCAGCAAAUAUUCCUAGUUUCAGGGUCACACGGGGCCCCUGUCUGCAGAUCUUGCAUACCAGCUCAAGGUUCCUGAAUCCUGAGUCCCGGUCCAGAGACUCUUGGCUGGUGGAACGUGAGAUGCACGUAUGGCACUUGUAGUUUCUAGAUGCUUUUUUGUUAUCGCGCUUUCCAGUUGUUGGAAAGGCUCCUGCAGCAAUUCCAGACCCAGAGCAAAUUGCUGUGCCCGUGUUUUCCUUCCUGGGACUGUCCAUUUAGAAUAGGGUCCUCAUAUACUGCUCGCCACACACAAUCAGAAGAGUACUUCCCUUGCCCUCAUUUGAUCACCUGCAACCCCCAAGUGUCUCCCAAAUGUCAUCAAGGACAUUGGCCACGGGGUCUCUAGGCCACUCUUGACAGAGAGCACUGCUAUACCAUCAUCCAUCAAGGGUAGCAUUCGAUUUUUAGAAAUAGUUUCUUAGCAAUAACACUUGUCAAGCUCCCCACCCACCCGUCCAAGAAGAAGCUCCUCGCAUUUCAUACCUGUCCCAGGAUGCUGCCAACCCUGCACCAAGUCAGCUGUGGCUGAAAUGUGCUGCGUCAUGUCCCCCUCCUGCCCCCAAGAUUUUGAGAAUCAUAGCUCUGAUGAUUAUAAACAUUAUACAGAAGAAGAAGGAAAAAAAAAAGAAAACCUCUUAGUUUCUUUGAAGCUUAAACUGUGUGCGUACUGCAUUUUUAUAUAACUGCUAUAAUGAUGUGUAUUGAUUCUAUAUAUAGAGGUCAUUUUAAGGUGCUUUUUAUUUAAUUUCAAGUGUAAUAGGCACUAAAAUGAAACUCAACUGGGUACUAUCAUUGAGACAGUUUGAUUCAAACCACUAGUUUGCAUGCUCUUCGGUUCCUUUUCUAUCUUCUCUCUUUCCCCCUUUCUGUACUGUUGGAGUGGCUCUGGAUUCCGGCUUUUCUCAGAAGCUGCUCAGUUACAUCAAUGACGUGGACCUUUAGCAGUUUUUGCCUGGAUACUAAUGACUCUACAAGGGUGUGUAACUCUUCUUUUUCAUACUGGAUCUGUACCUUGUAUUCCCCCUUGCAAACCAGAAACUACGUAUUUUUUUCCUCGGGAAAGACUUCUCACUGUGCUGUGCGCUUAGGAACUGCGCAGUCACAUUGCCGUGCUAUGGCAUUUGAGGCUCGUUGUCACCUAGGGGCUGAUGUCCCAUGUUUUCCUCCUUGCUAACACUGGGAUCUCAGAUGUUUGCAGAACAUUUCUAUCCAUGAUGGUUCUUCAAAAGAAGGGCUAGCAUAAAUUGCCUUCUACCUAAAGCAAAGUAAACCUAACAUGAUGAAGAGUCCACAGGGACUUUUUGUACAUUCCCAGAUUUGAGCCAGAAAAUACCUACAACAUUUUCAAGUAAUGUUUUCGAGGUAGCUCUUUUCUCAGCGUUCAUCCAUGCUGACUUUAUUGCCCUCUGUAAGGUAUACGUGAACUACAAUCCGCAUUUCUAGCAUGUGAUGUUUUUCUGCUCACAGAGGCGAACGAAUGUUCUAGGGUUCUCAAAUCAGAUGGGCCCUCUCUUAGCUUUCAACUGUUGUUUUCCUCGGGCUGAUAAAUUGUUGGCUUCACUAAGGUCACCACCUGUAACAGGAACUUGUUUUAAAGGCACAAAAGGCUGUCUUUUUCUUUAGGAAGUGGAAUUCAUGACAGCCGCAAUCUAUCUUCCUAAAAGAUAGAUAGAAGAAAAGAACUUGUUUUAAAGGCACAAAGGGCUGCCUUUUUCUUUAGGAAGUGAAAUUCAUGACACCCGCGAUCUACCUUCCUAAAAGAUAGAAAGGUCGAGGCAGAAAGAAAGGAAGGUCGGCUUAUGGUGUACUUUGCUUUAAGGCAGUACCACUGCUCUCCUUUGGAAAAGAAACUCUUGACUAAUUUUCUGCUUUCACUUGACCACCAUCCUCCGUUUUCUUCUCAGUAGGAGUUCUAAGUGAACUGUUACUAAACUUUGUGUGGUCUUGAGCUGAGAUCUUAGCCUCUCUCCAGAGCCCAAGCCCAAGUGUUUCUCGCUCGGGGGCUGGGGAGCUGUCUCUGUCACAAAGAGAAUGUUAGCAAUGUCACAAUGGGGGGCGGGAGCAGGCAAGGCUUCUGGUGGGCAGAGACAUCUGCCCAGAAGACACUCCCCACCCUAAGUAAAGACCAACGCAGCCCCACAGAGCUCGCCAAGCUCUUUUCUUUCCAGGCUACCGAACGGCAACUGGCAGUUCUUCCUCACUGCAUGCUCUAAAAGAAUCUGCUCCAGUGCUGCUUGAAUCUCUGCCGUCCUGUUUUGCGUUCCCAUUGUCUUGGACCUGCUAAAAGGGGCCGCAGACAGAGUCCUGAUAGAACCCCCAGGGCCAGAACCUCGCAAGCAGUUUCGGUCAGAGACACCGAGGACCACCUUGCAAAACAAAACCUCGUAAGUGGUUCUAAUUUCUUACUUUUGCACCUUGACCCACUGAGAUAGAGACAAUCCUGAGAUCUCCUUCAGCUGGGCCAAGCAUUGUAUCUUAGAAGCCAUGAGUAAAAUGCAAUGCAAGAUGACAAAGUCAUGACUGACGAGUUCCCCGUCUGUCUGUAUAAUACACACCCUGUGGCAAAAGUGAGGUGGCUGGAAAGCUCUGGCCUGUUGCCCUAUCCUAUUCUUUCUUCUUUUUUAAUUGAACGUACUAUAAAUGAUCGUAGACUUUCGUGCCAAAUCAAUGACUGUGAAUCCUCAUCUCUUAUCGUGCUGUGUUCGUUCACCGCUCAGCGUUAGGCCUGGUCCUGACUCUAACUUUAUCCUCUCCAGGCACCUCUGUGUUUGCCCCGUAGAGAUUCGAUGUGUAUUUUCACUCAUUGACUGUUCACUCCCAACUUUGAGGGAGCUAUGUCUUUUUUUUUUUUCCCAGGGGAAAAAAAAAAGAAAGUUUUAACAGUCUGCACGUCAAUUUUCUAGGGUCAGCAGAAUUGUGGCGGUGCAACUGGUUUCAUUUAUUUCUAAGGCCCUUCAGUACCCAUGAGGUUUAGUGAGCUCUCAGAACCCCAUCUGAUCCUUGGGUCUUAUUUUGAUCCUCGGUUCCUAUUUUGAUCCUCCUUUGGAAUCUUAACAAAAAAAAAAAAAAAAAAAAAAUUGGUCUCCAUGUUGUAUGCAGAUUAGAAGUUGCCUUGUUCGCUACUCUUCCAGCACAGAGUGUCAGGGAGAAAGAGGCCUUAUCUGUUCUUCUAUCCCUUCUGUGUUUGACAGACUGCUAAGAAUUCCUCAGGACUUCUUUUGGUUUGGGAUUUUACUUUCCCAAAAGCCUAUCCCAGUUUGUUUCAGGCGUAGACAAGCUUGUCCUAGUGCUCUGUUUCAGGGUAAAUCGGACAAAACCCAGGAAUAGCAAAGGUAGAUGCCUUGACUUUUGUCCCUGUUGGGGCAUGAAAAUGUUUAUCGCUUGAGUUUUGUCGAAAGUCCUAGUUACCAAACACUCAAGAGUUUCCAGGAGAGAAAGCCAGAAUGAUGCUUUCCCCUCUGGAGAACUUCAAAGUCCUCCACCACGGCUUAGAUUUUCCAAAAUGGAAAGCAUUAACAAAAAAAAAAAAAAAGCCUGUGUGAAAUCCAUUUUCACCAGAGCGAAACACUCAAUUCCAGUCAUCCCACAGUCUACUUCCUUCUCUGUGUUUCCUCUUUGGUCACUGAGUCAGGCUGGAGGGGUGAUGCUGUGAUUGCAAACCAGUCAGUUCUCAUUGUUAACUCUUGGAUUGACUAACAAACAGUUAAACCAAACAAAAUAGUUACCCCUACCUAACUCCUAUCUCCAAGAAUUACUUUGUGCCAUUUUGAAUUCAGGUAGUUGUUAUUCUGUAUAUACUUAGAAAACCUAUUCUGAUCUUCUUCAAUCUCUAGUAAGUUUGAAGGGGAUGUUUGGAAAGACACGGAGCAGGGUGACUUUGAGACCGUGCUUAUGCACGAAAACAAAACUAUGAUAAGCCAGAGUGCUGUAACAUCCAAAUUUGUGGUAGUUGAAGAGUCAGUAGACAUUCUUAAUUUCACAGACUUUAUAAUCCAUAAUACCAAGUGUAAUUCCAUACUUUUUACUGUGGCAAGGAUGUGACAUAGUGUUAACCUUUUUAAUUUUUGAAUCCAAACUAACUUUAAAGUGUUGAAUAUUCAAAUUCUUCACAAGCUAAUUAUGAACCAUUUGUAAAGUGUUUAUAUAACUUUGUAUCAUGUGUUGGUACAUCUUAAUCAAGUUUUUUCUGGCAUGUAUUCCAUUCUAAACUUCUGUACAAAUUUCUAUCGUUGCUGUAAAUACUAUACAAAAUAUCUAUUCCGUGUAACCUUAAUUAUCAGCAUGAAAUGGUUAAUUUUUACUGAGCACAAUGUAUUUUUGAAUGGAUCUUCCCAGAUGUCUUUAAUAAAAUGCAGAUUUUGCACUGA
Molecule: RNA transcript, 8871 nt
Organism: Erinaceus europaeus (western European hedgehog)
Lineage: Eukaryota; Metazoa; Chordata; Mammalia; Eulipotyphla; Erinaceidae
Gene: CDKL5
Gene name: cyclin dependent kinase like 5
Exons: 19
Source: RefSeq, a predicted model, not a curated record